Anopheles coustani is the source of this 4806-nucleotide RNA transcript. It is a transcript of the gene named protein spinster, with no coding region annotated. Lineage: Eukaryota; Metazoa; Arthropoda; Insecta; Diptera; Culicidae. The record is from RefSeq and is a predicted model, not a curated record. The transcript has 8 exons.
CAGCUCCGUUAUCAAUCUCGUCCAUUAUUGGCGGAUCUUUAUCCGGCCCUGUUGACGGAGCACUUUUCCGCGAAACUGGUCAGUGUUCCAGAGACUCGAAGCUAAAAGGACUGAUUGUGUGGUGCAACCUAACCUCCAAGCGUCCGAAGUUAUCUUUCACGUACGUACGCAAACAGUAGCGGCACCUUCGCGAAAAAGCACUUCGAAAGUGUAUAAAUAGCAGCAAGAAGGAAAGAUUCUACUCGAGAUCCCGUUUUUCGAUCGUUGGGCGAUUGUGCGAGCAACAGCAGGGAAAUAAAAGAACGAACUUGUGCAUCGCGGUGUGCCAAUCGUGGCCAGUUGUAUUGUAUUUAUUUGUUAGCUACCACGUAUUUAUGGUGGUGCAUCAUCACCGCCAUCAUUUGCAACGAGCGGCAUACAUCAUCAGUUCGCAAGUGCAGAUCGUGCGUGUUUGUGUUUGUGUGUGUCUGUACGUAUGAUCGCAUGAUCACCGUUUGCUGGUGUGUGGUGGUGCAUUGUGAUCGCAGGUCGCGUAUGUUUACAUUGCGCCCGCGUGGAAGAAAGUAACGCCGCGUAGCGUAUCGUACGAUUUUGCCGUUGCCACAUAACCACUUACCUUGUCCACGUGCCACAACAACACAGCACCAUUCCGGUUGUGGAAAGAAAGUGACGGAAAGCAGUCCAUUGUCUUGAGUGGCGUGAUCGACGGCGUUAGGAGAAGCUGUAAUUUCUUCUGGACGAUCGAUUCCAAAAACACCAGGGUCCCGUAUUCGGAUGCCGUCCAGCCAGGGUUAUCACAAAGUAGCAUCGGAGCCACCGAUCGAUCCCGUGGAAGCGGGAGGCACCGGAACAACGCCCCUCGGUCUCAGCAACAGCACGAUCAUGCCGGGCGGCAAUAGUAACAGUGGCUCCGCCAUGGUGACGGGGACGGGUGGGACCGGUAGCGGGACAAUUCAGUCAAAUCCGGCUGGCAAAAUACCGGCCACCAACUCACAGCAGCGCCUCAUGCCCACCGAUUCGGACUCCGUGUCGUCAUCGCUGGACGACGCGGACAUUGACGUAGACCAUCGGAGAACCCAUCGGCACGAAGAUGAUUCGACGACGACGACGACCACGACAACGUUUGGCUCGAUAGGGGCCAACGCUUGGUUCACCGUUGGAGUACUCUGCUUCGUCAACCUCAUCAACUACAUGGACCGGUUUACGAUUGCAGGUGUGCUGACCGAAAUACAGGACCACUUCAAGAUAGGCGAUGACGAGGGCGGCCUGCUGCAGACGGCCUUCGUCCUGUCGUACAUGAUCUGCGCGCCCCUCUUCGGGUACCUGGGCGACCGGUACUCCCGCAAGUGGAUCAUGGUGCUCGGUGUGUCGCUGUGGAGCACCACGACACUGCUCGGCUCGUACAUGCACCAGUUCGGCUGGUUCAUCACCUUCCGGGCGCUGGUCGGCAUCGGGGAGGCCUCGUACAGUACGAUCGCACCGACGAUCAUCUCCGAUCUGUUCGUAGGCGAAAUGCGCUCGAAAAUGCUCGCCCUGUUCUACUUCGCGAUCCCGGUUGGGUCUGGAUGCGGGUACAUCAUCGGUGCGCAGAUGGCCAGUCUGAUGAACUCGUGGGUGUGGGCACUUCGGGUGACACCGUUCCUGGGGCUGAUCGCCGUCGUGCUGAUCAUCAUGCUGCGGGACCCGGAACGCGGACAGAGCGAAGGAUCGCAUCAUAUGCAGGCCACCUCGUACGGUGAGGACAUCAAGGCGGUCAUGCGUAAUCCCUCGUUCAUGCUGUCGACCGCAGGCUUCACGUGCGUUGCCUUCGUGGCCGGUGCGCUGGCCUGGUGGGGCCCGAAGUUCAUCCAUCUCGGUUUGACAUCCCAGGCGGGCAACGAGCAUGUCACACUGAACGAGGUGUCGUUCAUAUUUGGUGCCAUCACGAUGACGACCGGUAUUAUCGGCGUACCGCUCGGUUCGUACCUGUCGACGCGGCUCAGCAUCAAGUUCCCGCAGGCCGACCCGUACAUCUGUGCGGGCGGGCUGCUCGUGAGCGCUCCCCUCCUGCUCGGCGUGUUGUUCGCCGCACGCGUGAACAUUAUCGCGACCUACGCGCUUAUCUUUUUCGCCGAACUAGCACUGAAUCUCAAUUGGGCGAUCGUGGCGGAUAUUUUACUGUAUGUCGUUGUACCGACGAGACGAUCAACCGCUGAAGCUUUCCAGAUUCUGAUCUCCCAUGCAUUCGGAGACGCCGGCAGUCCUUACUUUGUUGGUUUGAUGUCGGAAGCUAUCAAGCGAGUGAUCCGGCUGUCCGCCGAUGCGUACUCCGGCUUCGAAAUGGUACGGCCAGCGAUCAGCAUGCGCAGUUUGUCGCAACUGGCCGAAAAUGUUACCGUCACUGCACUGGAAGUCAUCAAUGCGACGACGACGACGACGACGACGACGACCACGUUAGCACCGUCGAUGGAUCAGACAGUGCCGGACCCGGAAGAUGACUCGCCACUGGUAAAGUUCCGUGCCCUCCAGUACGCCCUGUUCUCCACCUGCUUCGUGGAGAUCCUCGGCGGAGUGUUCUUCAUGAUGACCGCCAUUUACAUCGUGCGCGAUCGGCAACGCGUAGACCAGGCGAUCAGUGGAUGUCAGCUCGAGCUCAGCGAAAGCUCCGGAUCGGACGGCAACGGUACGGACGACGGUCAACGGUCGCUGCGGACGGCGGUGGCCAGUGGUAGCACCAUUGCUGCGACCUCCUAACGGCGCCGGCAACCAAGUGAAGUGAUCUAAUUGGUGGUGUCCUUCGGUUCGUAACAGCGUCAUCAUCCCGAGUGGAUCCGAUCAUCCAUCCAUCCGUUCCCCCCAUCGACCCGUGCUAGUCUGUGAUCUGUAAUCCCUUUGCCAUCCCCUUCCUCCGUCCUGUGGAAAAAAGGAUAAUCCCAACACCAAAAAGAAAACACGUUACGAAUCGAAGGCGGUUGUGUUGAGUGUCCCCGGGGGACACUCCGAAACAAUACCCGCUGGUUAGACGCUUCUUACUUGCCAUUCACUUGCUUUAGCGAAUCAAUCGAGCAGUGCCUCCGCACACCGACUGGAAGGCUCGGUCUCCGACAUGGAAGACACGUUACCAAGCGCACCAUAAAAUGCCGCGUGUAGAAGGAAGCGAACAACAAAAGACUCCCGCCUCGUCCAACAGAGAAACGUCCCCGCCGUGCACGUAGCGAUUGGCAUAUGCAUUUCAAAGUGAGACGAGCAAAACCGUUCUAUCUUGUUGUAGGAUGAUCGUGAUCGAUGACCGCAAAGAUACUACGGGGGGAACCCAGGGUGUUCCCAAGUGUGCUCGAUCGCGGUAGGGUUAAGGAUAGAGAACUAAACAGAACUGAGUAUCGCGUACAGAGGUAACCGCGCGUGAGAAGAUGGUCCUCCUUGCGGUGACCUCCUCGGUCAUUCGCUGCUCUCGCAAUUUCUUCUAGGAGCACAUUACCACAUCACACACCGUUUCAGCUCGGUUAGCAUAGGGAAACGGUAAUGAUUUUCUCAACCUAAAAAAAAUGGAGCAAAUCAAAUCCCUACCAAUCAAUAGAUACGUUUAAGAAAAUGUAUCUGAAUGUAGAAAAAUAUCAAAAACACACAUAACAAAAAAAAACCACAAAAAGUAAACUCCCAAAAGCUGUAGGCAAUCGAUCGGUUUAUCCUACGAUCACGCAUCGCGGAUGAUCGGUUAUGUAUCAAAUUUAGGAUUUAAAAUUAAUUUUUUUUUGCGGUUGGUUGGGAAAGCAUUAGCAAUUUAAGGACAGGGUGUGUACAUAGAACUACUCUACUCUAGAACCCAAAACAAUUAGACACUCAAAUACGCAUACCCUAAACACACGCAUUAGGAAGAUAGGAUUGAUAGCAGUUUUGCUGUUCAGGGACAUUGUUUCUAGUUUAGGAGUACGCGAACGUAACGCGUUUCUUCUGCAAAACGUAGGUCAUCACCAUAAAGGUCGGUUGUAAAUUAAAAACCCGCCCUUUCCACAUGUUCCAACGUGAUUCUGAAUAAUUGUACGACGACACACUACGGUACGAUAGGGAAAAGGGAGCAUUGAAUGCCUUGCCUAGAGUAAGGCAAAAUACGGAACUACGGAGAUACGAAAGGAUUGGUAUAUAAGUCCAUAAACUCUGAAGCGGAAAAGAACAAGGGGCCAUUUGAGUUUGCCGGGUAGACUAAAUUAUUCGCGUGAUAGAAUGUGUUUAUUGGAAUACCGAUAGUUGACAAAUUGGCGGCCAACAGCUGCAAUUGACUGACAAAAAAACGGCGAAAAAAAGCAAAGGCAAGGCACAAACGCCAACAAAACGUGUUAGGCAAAUGUUUGAAGAGAGAGAGAGUGGUAGCAAAUUUCGCAAGCAUGUUGAAUUAGUGGAUCAAACCUUAUCAAUUUCAAGUAUUUCUUCCCCCCGGCAAGUCAAUAUUCACGAUAUAGAGAGACUGUCGAUAUGAGAAGUGAUUCUUGUCUUUCGACCUUUGCCGGUGUAUACAUACGGCUCUUAUAUCUCCUCCCCCACAGUAAGAUAGAGGGAAACUCUUGCCUCCCCUCGGACGCGGAGAUUGUACCCCCUGCUGAACCAAGGCGACCAAAACCCCUAAACUAAAUACCGUGAUUUAAUAGAAUUCAUCAUGCAAGGGAUGAAUUAGGCUGAAGAUGACGAGCAGUAGAAUAGGAAAGUUUAUUAGAAAGCGGAAGCAUAUUUAUUAUUAGAUUUUCUGUUUAUCAUUUUGUCUUGUUUUGGGCCGGGAAUGAACUGAAUGAACGAGAAAAUGGAUUGAAGUUUAAAUAUAACUGAAAAACUGUA